CAGUCGCCACGGGAAUACGAAGGGUGCAAGCGUUACUCGGAAUUACUGGGCGUAAAGCGUGCGUAGGUGGUGGUUUAAGUCCGUUGUGAAAGCCCUGGGCUCAACCUGGGAAUUGCAGUGGAUACUGGGUCGCUAGAGUGUGGUAGAGGAUAGUGGAAUUUCCGGUGUAGCAGUGAAAUGCGUAGAGAUCGGAAGGAACAUCUGUGGCGAAGGCGGCCCCCUGGACAAAGACUGACGCUCAGGUGCGAAAGCGUGGGGAGCAAACAGGAUUAGAUACCCCCGUAGUCCCUGUCUCUUAUAC
Molecule: ribosomal RNA, 301 nt
Filed under: uncultured bacterium
Lineage: Bacteria
Description: partial 16S ribosomal RNA
Rfam family: Bacterial small subunit ribosomal RNA
Source: RNAcentral